AACUAACGCUGGCGGCGUGCCUAACACAUGCAAGUCGUACGAGAAAGUUGGCUUCGGCCGAUGAGUAAAGUGGCGCACGGGUGAGUAAUGCGUGGAUAAUCUGCCCUUUAGUUGGGAAUAACGUACCGAAAGGUGCGCUAAUACCUGAUAAUACUGCAUAACUACUGUUGUGUAGUCAAAGAAGGCCUCUGUUUACAAGCUUUUGCUGAAGGAUGAGUCCGCGUACCAUUAGCUGGUUGGUGGGGUAAUGGCCUACCAAGGCUACGAUGGUUAGCUGGUCUGAGAGGAUGAUCAGCCACACUGGAACUGAGACACGGUCCAGACUCCUACGGGAGGCAGCAGUGAGGAAUAUUGCGCAAUGGGGGCAACCCUGACGCAGCAACGCCGCGUGAGUGAGGAAGGUUUUCGGACCGUAAAGCUCUGUCGAGCGGGAAGAAAUCGUAUGGGCUAAUACCCUGUGCGGAUGACGGUACCGGCAUAAGAAGCACCGG
RNAcentral lists this ribosomal RNA (491 nucleotides) under uncultured bacterium. RNAcentral's name for it is "bacterial SSU rRNA". It matches the Rfam family "Bacterial small subunit ribosomal RNA", at positions 29 to 496 of the family's 1533-position model. The record is from RNAcentral.